AACACCAUGCCAACUAUCUUGUUUGUUUCCUUGAUGGGUUCUUUGUUGCAUGGUUAAUUGGUUUUGGAAGUUCGGUAGUGGAAGGUUGUUGGAAUUGCUGUGAUUAACCUCAUUCUAUUGAAUAAGCGUCUUUUUGAAGUGCUUUUGGAAGAGUGGAAAUAUUAGAUUGUAGUCUCAUAAUUCCAAAGGUGAAGGAUCAAGUUCUUAGACCAAUUUUCCCAAUUUGACUGUGAGGAAUGUUGGUUCUCGGUGGCAAGUGUAUUUGCCUUUUCUUUCUUUUCUUUUCUUUUUUCUUUUUUUUUUUUUUUUUUUGAGAAGGCUGGUUGGGGCGAAAUACUACAGUUAAGGGUCUUGUUGGUUCUUCUCAAGGUUCUUAAAAAGUGGUGAACUUGUUGUUAAGGCGUUUGAUUGUUUUGGUUCGACCAUGAGAUGAUUUUGUUCUAGGAACUCAAAUCCACUUCUUGUCGAAUCAAACCUGAAGCUUUUGUGUUGGGUUUGUUUUCCUAUUCUCUUCUUGUUUUUUGUCGUUGCCUUGAGUGCUUCAUUAAUUGUCAAGCCGGUGUAAUGUUGUUCCCACUGAGACAUUUUUAAUUGUUGUAACGCAUGGCUCGUUAUUUAAUCCCCAUCAAGAUUCUGAAUACAUAUGCUUGUGUAUCCAUGCAGGAAGUAGAAAAUUGAUUGGUGUGUUUUGCUGCUCUGUUUUCGGGGCUGGAAAGGGCAAUAUUGUGAGAUUGGUUCUUGGAAAUUUAUGAUAUAGGUGUAAUUACAAGAAUCUAUUUUGCAUGUUUAGUUGGAUAACGUGAAAUCCUUGAUGCAUGAUGCGGUUUUCUG
RNAcentral lists this long non-coding RNA (831 nucleotides) under Gossypium barbadense (sea-island cotton). RNAcentral describes it as "long non-coding RNA (GBAR_LNC018014)". The record is from RNAcentral. Lineage: Eukaryota; Viridiplantae; Streptophyta; Magnoliopsida; Malvales; Malvaceae.